UUGAUUCCCUGCUCAGAUUGAACGCUGGCGGCAGGCCUAACACAUGCAAGUCGGACGGUAGCACAGAGGAGCUUGCUCCUUGGGUGACGAGUGGCGGACGGGUGAGUAAUGUCUGGGGAUCUGCCCGAUAGAGGGGGAUAACCACUGGAAACGGUGGCUAAUACCGCAUAACGUCGCAAGACCAAAGAGGGGGACCUUCGGGCCUCUCACUAUCGGAUGAACCCAGAUGGGAUUAGCUAGUAGGCGGGGUAAUGGCCCACCUAGGCGACGAUCCCUAGCUGGUCUGAGAGGAUGACCAGCCACACUGGAACUGAGACACGGUCCAGACUCCUACGGGAGGCAGCAGUGGGGAAUAUUGCACAAUGGGCGCAAGCCUGAUGCAGCCAUGCCGCGUGUAUGAAGAAGGCCUUCGGGUUGUAAAGUACUUUCAGCGGGGAGGAAGGCGGUGCGGUUAAUAACCGCGCCGAUUGACGUUACCCGCAGAAGAAGCACCGGCUAACUCCGUGCCAGCAGCCGCGGUAAUACGGAGGGUGCAAGCGUUAAUCGGAAUUACUGGGCGUAAAGCGCACGCAGGCGGUCUGUUAAGUCAGAUGUGAAAUCCCCGGGCUUAACCUGGGAACUGCAUUUGAAACUGGCAGGCUUGAGUCUUGUAGAGGGGGGUAGAAUUCCAGGUGUAGCGGUGAAAUGCGUAGAGAUCUGGAGGAAUACCGGUGGCGAAGGCGGCCCCCUGGACAAAGACUGACGCUCAGGUGCGAAACGCG
RNAcentral lists this ribosomal RNA (761 nucleotides) under Pantoea sp. Wr1N20. RNAcentral describes it as "bacterial SSU rRNA". It matches the Rfam family "Bacterial small subunit ribosomal RNA", at positions 13 to 762 of the family's 1533-position model. The record is from RNAcentral. Lineage: Bacteria; Pseudomonadati; Pseudomonadota; Gammaproteobacteria; Enterobacterales; Erwiniaceae.